UCAGAGAUGAAUUAGUGCUUUCGGGAACUCCGUGACAGGUGCUGCACGGCUGUCGUCAGCUCGUGUCGUGAGAUGUUGGGUUAGUCCCGCAACGAGCGCAACCCCUAUCCUUGGUUGCUAACAGGUUAAGCUGAGAACUCCAAGGAGACUGCCGGUGACAAACCGGAGGAAGGUGGGGACGACGUCAAGUCAUCAUGGCCCUUAUGGGAUGGGCUACACACGUGCUACAAUGGUCGGUAUAGAGGGUUGGUACUCGCGAGAGUAAGCUAAUCCCAGAAAGCCGGUCGUAGUCCGGAUUGGAGUCUGCAACUCGACUCCAUGAAGUUGGAAUCGCUAGUAAUCGUGGAUCAGCAUGCCACGGUGAAUACGUUCCCGGGCCUUGUACACACCCGCCCGUCACACCAUGGGGGAGUGGGCUGCACAAAGAAGUGGGUAGACAAACUUCGGGUAAGUCGCUUCAUCCCACUUUUGUGGUUUCAUGACUAGGGGGUGAAAGUCGUAACAAGGUGACCAAGGGCGUCAUUCGAUUUA
This 531-nucleotide ribosomal RNA is filed under the name gamma proteobacterium ectosymbiont of Symmetromphalus aff. hageni. RNAcentral's name for it is "bacterial SSU rRNA". It matches the Rfam family "Bacterial small subunit ribosomal RNA", at positions 1000 to 1533 of the family's 1533-position model. Lineage: Bacteria; Pseudomonadati; Pseudomonadota; Gammaproteobacteria. The record is from RNAcentral.